UUCCGGUUGAUCCUGCCGGACCUGACUGCUAUCGGAUUGAUACUAAGCCAUGCGAGUCAUUGUAGUAAUACAAGGCAGACGGCUCAGUAACGCGUAGUCAACCUACCCUAAGGACGGGGAUAACCUCGGGAAACUGAGAAUAAUACCCGAUAGAACAUAGCUCCUGGAAUGGUUUAUGUUUCAAAUAAUUUAUUGCCCUAGGAUGGGACUGCGGCCUAUCAGUUUGUUGGUGAGGUAAUGGCCCACCAAGACUAUUACAGGUACGGGCUCUGAGAGGAGUGGCCCGGAGAUGGGUACUGAGACACGGACCCAGGCCCUAUGGGGCGCAGCAGGCGAGAAAACUUUGCAAUGUGCGAAAGCACGACAAGGUUAAUCCGAGUGGUUUCUGCUAAAGGAACCUUUUGUCGGUCCUAGAAACACCGAUGAAUAAGGGGUGGGCAAGUUCUGGUGUCAGCCGCCGCGGUAAAACCAGCACCUCAAGUGGUCAGGAUGAUUAUUGGGCCUAAAGCAUCCGUAGCCGGCUCUGUAAGUUUUCGGUUAAAUCUGUACGCUUAACGUACAGGCUGCCGGGAAUACUGCAUAGCUAGGGAGUGGGAGAGGUAGACGGUACUCGGUAGGAAGGGGUAAAAUCCUUUGAUCUAUUGAUGACCACCUGUGGCGAAGGCGGUCUACCAGAACACGUUCGACGGUGAGGGAUGAAAGCUGGGGGAGCAAACCGGAUUAGAUACCCGGGUAGUCCCAGCUGUAAACUAUGCAAACUCAAUGAUGCAUUGGCUUGUGGCCAAUGCAGUGUUGCAGGGAAGCCGUUAAGUUUGCCGCCUGGGAAGUACGUACGCAAGUAUGAAACUUAAAGGAAUUGGCGGGGGAGCACCACAAGGGGUGAAGCCUGCGGUUCAAUUGGAUUCAACGCCGGA
RNAcentral lists this ribosomal RNA (914 nucleotides) under uncultured archaeon. RNAcentral's name for it is "bacterial SSU rRNA". It matches the Rfam family "Archaeal small subunit ribosomal RNA", at positions 1 to 922 of the family's 1478-position model. The record is from RNAcentral.